This is a long non-coding RNA of Dromaius novaehollandiae (emu), 2780 nucleotides long. RefSeq lists it as uncharacterized. The record is from RefSeq and is a predicted model, not a curated record. The transcript has 3 exons. NCBI's taxonomy places the organism in Eukaryota, Metazoa, Chordata, Aves, Casuariiformes, Dromaiidae.
ACGGCGGGUUACAAACUCUUUCUCCAGCAGCUCCCUGAUUUGAAAAGAGCUCGUUUCCUUCUGUGCACUGAUCGUGCUGCUAAGUGAUGCAGAUUUGGAGACAGCAGAAUUUUUCCUGACAGGAUUGGUAACAGAAAGGUCUACACCAGACUCACAGUGGAAAGCAUGAAAUCUUACGCAGAAAGAGAGCUUGGGCUGGAUGUGGACACAGGGCACCGCUGCAGAGUCUGCUCCAACUCCUGAUGCCCACUCGUCACCGGGGAUGUCUUGGCUCUGCAGGGAGCUGCACUCAGGCAGAAUGCAGAGCAACAGAGAAGGUGGGAACUGCUGCACCCGACUCCGAUGCUUACAGAUGAGGACAGAAGUGUUGACACUGUUAACAGUUUUGUUGGUAGGAGAAAAGAGAGGGAGGAUCACCAACUAAUGGGACUUGCUGUGAGAAACCUCUUCUUUUGGUGCCAGUAGCCAUUUUAAAGAGAUGCAUCAUUUCUUUUUAAACUCAGCCUAGGAAAUCCACCUGUCUGAGCCAACCACAGGCAGUGAAUGUUUUACCAUCUGACCAAGGAGAUGUCAGCAUCAAGAAGGCUGAAAGCACUAGUCAGCUUGGUGGAGUACACCUUGGAUCACAGCAAAAGCAAAGGAUUGGUACAUUACUGCUUGGUAGUUGUUACAGAAGGCCAGCUUCAGCAGAGUUAGAAAAAGAAUAGCUUAGCCAUGAUAAGAAAAGCUUUCUUUCUCCUUGCAGGUCACAAUGACUCUAAAUUCAUUUAAUUUGGACCAUGCCCUUCCUUACUUCCAUCUUGAUAUGUUCUAGAAAUUUCUGAAGUGAGGAACUGCUAAUACUGAAAUAACAGGAAGCUGUCAUUUUACUUUCAUGCAUUUUUCCAAGUAUUCAGCUAAAACCUUACAAGUAACACAGACAAGGCAAAAAAGACACUUGCUACUAAACACUGUCCUCAUGAAGCCCAUCUUGGUGGCCAGAAUUGAUUAUGUGUGGCCCACUACAGCCUCCUUACCUUUGUAGCCAGUGCAGGAGUGGAAUUUGCCCAGAUGUGACUUGAGGAUUUUGCAUAUGAACUGGUCUGGGCACCAUUUUGUGGUGUGUCAUUAUUGGCCAUGUCCAAUCCUGAAUCAUUUUUUAUCAGUGACCUUGCCUGUCCAACCCCUUCCCUGAAUUAUGUAUUUAGCAAACAUACUGAAGCACAGGGAGCACUUCUGCACAUUUAUCUGUAAUGCUAAAGACAUUCUCUGAACAGCUCUUUUUAAUGCUUCCUGCACAUCACUCCUCCCAGCAGUUCUGUUACCACCCUGCCAUCCUGGCUAUAAUGGCCAAUUUUCAAACGUAUUUUCACUGCCCCUCAGAACUGCACCCAGAAUUGUCUGCCAAUCCCUUUUGAUUGCUGCCAGAGAAGAAGCAUUUUUAUAGCGCUUGUUUUCUCUGCUGCUUCUGUAUUGAGUGAUUUCUUUACUACUUUGCUACUUCCUUAUUCAGUGAUUCGAGUUUUCACUAUAGCGAAGUACUGUCAGUCACACAGCCUCUUUCAGAGUUAGCUGAAUAACUAAGGACCAACAUUUGGGUCUCCCAAAAAAUGAAAAGGCAGCCUUGUAAGAUUUUUAAGUUGAUAGAAAGAACAUGACAAGUCUGAAAAGAAGCAUUUUUCUUCUUUGAAAAGCUGUCAAUUCCUCAGUUCAAAUGCAACAAUAUUUCCAAGGAAUAAUUCCAUCAAUCUUCCUCAGAGACAAUGAGCAUAAAGCUUUUCAUAUGGGCAUUAGUGAUGGCUUUCUCCAGGCCUCUGCCCUUUACAUAAGAAGGAUGGGGUUCAGAUUAUACUACUCAUAGGGAUCAUAGUGUCAUAAGAAUGGUGUCAUAGGGUUUUUUCCUUCUUUAACUAAACGCAAAAUGGCAUUACUGGCUAAACAGUACAGUUAGACACACAAGUAGCCUUGAGGGCUCCUGAGAAGUCUUGUUAUUCAUUCUUUUAUUUUUUAUUUGAUAUAAAUAUGAAUAUAUUCUCUGUUUGAAAUAUGUGUUUGCAUUUCAAAUGUCAGAGAAACUAUAAAACUCUCAACAUCAGUUCUAUCCCGGAAAUUAUUAGCAAAGGAUUGGUCUAAAAUACUCCACAAUUUUUUUAUCCUAACCUGCUGAUUCAGCUGCAUUGCCAUUUUUUUCAGAGUUUUUCAGUUUGUUCAGAGUUCAGCAUUCAAAUUCAUAGAAUUGCUGAUGGAGUGAGAGUCUCUGACUAGCUGAUUUCUCGGUUCCUCAAAAGCUGGUUCUCCCAAAGUGCUCAGAUCCUUAGCAGUUCAUUUGGAUGACUGGAUGGGAGCCAGAAAACCCUGAUAUCUUUAGCUUUCAUCUUCUGGUUUCUUUUACAAUCCAGAAUUUCAAGAUUCAUAGUACCAGGGUGUCCAUCAGAUGGAUUACCUUGGAGCAGGAAUUCGAUUCCCUUUUGUUUUCUAUUGGAGCAGAACCUAGAUAUGAAAUGAGGUUACUUUGAGCUGACAAGUUCUGCUCCAAAAACCUUGACAAUAUGGUUUUCCAAGGCUUAUAUGAACUCUGGGAAAUAAAUCUUCUAUUCUUCCUAGACUGAUGUGAGAAAUAGUUUACCAAGUCAUUUCUAUUGAGAAAUUAAAAGGAAGGAGAAGAAAGAGGUAAGGAAGAAAUAUAACUAAAACUCCAGGGUCAUGGCCUGACAAAUUAAAAUUAAGUCUGCUUUCUAAAAAUGGGUUAGAGAAGUUUUACCUGAAAAAUAUUCUUGCCGUGUUGCUGUCCUUGCAUAUGU